AAUAAACCCUGAGUUUUCAUGUCCAACGUUUGACCGUUCGUCUUAUUUAAAAAAGUUAUGAAAAAAAAUUUAAAAAGGCAAGUCACGCAUAAAGUAUUAAUUAUGUUUUAUCAUCUAACAACAAUAAAAAUACUAAUUAUAAAAAAUUCCAUAUAAGACGGACAGUCAAACGUUAAACACGAAAACCUAGGGUUUGUUUUUUU
Molecule: microRNA precursor, 203 nt
Filed under: Oryza glumipatula
Lineage: Eukaryota; Viridiplantae; Streptophyta; Magnoliopsida; Poales; Poaceae
Description: MIR812 microRNA precursor family
Rfam family: MIR812 microRNA precursor family
Source: Rfam by way of RNAcentral